CCUCAGCAUGAACUCUGUGCGAAUUUGACAUACCCUUCAAAAAUGCGAUGUAUAGUCCGAACAGUACUAAUCUUAAAAGUGUGUAGCGCAUUCUAACAACACGCGCAUUUCAAUGUAUUAUGAACCUUUUAUUGCAAUUUUAUUAUUAAAUAAAUUCCAAAACGCAUAUCGGAGUUGAGUUUUAAUGCAAAAAUGAAAUAAAAUCGAAAUUGAUGUUGCAAUAAAGUCUUAUGUUUUGACCAGAAUUUGCCUAUUACACCUGUAAGUGAGGAUACACAAUGUUGUGUGAUUAUACAGGAGCCCUAGAUGGGCCUUGAAAUUCAGCGAAGCCAUCCGUAUCACUUAUGACAGAUUUCUUAGUUCAUAAACAUAAAUUUUCCUGAGCUCGAUACUCGUGAGAAUACGCUUGAGGCACAACCGACCACCAACACACAGUUUUCACUUUC
Long non-coding RNA from Pieris napi, 446 nucleotides. RefSeq lists it as uncharacterized. The record is from RefSeq and is a predicted model, not a curated record. NCBI's taxonomy places the organism in Eukaryota, Metazoa, Arthropoda, Insecta, Lepidoptera, Pieridae. The transcript is spliced from 2 exons.